RNAcentral lists this ribosomal RNA (176 nucleotides) under uncultured bacterium. RNAcentral describes it as "partial 16S ribosomal RNA". It matches the Rfam family "Bacterial small subunit ribosomal RNA", at positions 1325 to 1500 of the family's 1533-position model. The record is from RNAcentral.
GCUGGAGUUGCUAGUAAUCGCGAAUCAGCAUGUCGCGGUGAAUACGUUCCCGGGUCUUGUACACACCGCCCGUCACACCAUGGGAGUCGGUAACACCCGAAGUCAGUAGUCUAACCGCAAGGAGGACGCUGCCGAAGGUGGGAUUGACGACUGGGGUGAAGUCGUAACAAGGUACC